CCAGGGACCGCGCGGUCUCGCAGCGGGAGAGCGGGGAGACCUCGUUCAGGCCAGCCCUCGCGGCGGCCGCAGGAGUGGAGGCAGCUCCCGGGAAAAGCACAGCGCAAGCCCCCCUCGACCAGCCAUUCUGCGUCCCCCGCCGGACCUUCCCUCCCCUCCUUCCCUCCCUCUCUCCCUCCCUCGCGAGGUGGAAAGGAGGGGAGCCGGGCGCCAAGCCCUCAGAGGGCCGGGGUCGCCCGACCGUCCCUCUCGAGCGCGCGGCGCCUCCCGGGGGCUCGCGCGGGACUCGCCCCUUCUCCAGGGCCAGGAAGCGCCUCUCCCCGGAGAGCCGAAGCGACCCGUCCGGUUAGCUCGAGCCUCAAGCGUCUCCUGCCCCCGCCUCCUCCCGCUUCUGCUCCUGCCCCCGCCUCCGCGGGCUCACGCUCUCCCCCACUCGGUGAGCUUCAAACCAGGAAGCAGCUGCCGCCCCAUCCCGGGCAGGAGACUCGCGCCGCCGGGCUCCAAGUUCACGGCAACCCUGCGCGGGGCUGGCGCGCCCUCCGAAGCCCGGGGGCGCGGCGCGCGGCCGGCGCCCGACCCGGCGUUCGGUCAGUAGCGGGGCGCAAGCGGCCUGGGGAGCGCGGCGCAGGCCGGUUCGCACCGCUCUGCUCGCGCUCCCUGCAGCGGGGUCUGGCGGGGAGCUCUGGGCUGGAAGCUACCCCAGGUGCAGGCCAAAAAGGGAAGGGCUUGCGGCCCAGCCUGAGCGAACACCUGAGGCGUGGGAGACAGACCCGGGGAGCGCCGGAAGGCGGGAAAGAGGAGGAGCAGGGAACCCACGCGGCCGGGAGUCGCCCGCGCCCCCCAGUCCCCCCUAGGAGGUGGGAUGGCGACCCAACGUGGCCAUCUGGGAGAGGCCCUGGCCGGAGGCGGGUGCGUGACGGGAGGUUCCUUUACCUAAUCUUUACAGGGAUGGCUCAUCCCGAGUUCAGCUUGGGCCCAUCCUGUUUGUGUACCUUUCCUGCGGAGAGUAAUUACACGGUUGUUGUGUGUGUGCGUGUGUGUGUGUGUGUGUUUUUAAUAGAGCAGUAGUGAUGAUGGAAAUCCUGUCCGCCUCCUUCCUCGGAGAGGUGUGUCUUGUUGCACAAAGAGCAGGAAAGUUCAGUUCUGAAGACAGACAUGGCCGGGACGUAAUAAAUCUCUUCCUCUGCGGGGUGAUUCCCGGUCCACCCGGCCCUGCAUGACAAGAACAGUAGAUGUUCACACACACAGUCCCUGGCACAUGUGCUCGAUCGCCUCUUCUAGGAACACUCGGGGCUGUUGCUCUCUUUUUGAGUCAGAGGGGGCAGCCUUCAGUUUUUUCUCCACUGAGGGUUCCUGCAGUUUUUGUCCCCUGGGAGCUCCUUACUCCCUGAGGGCCAGGUCAACCAAUUUGUC
Molecule: long non-coding RNA, 1413 nt
Filed under: Delphinapterus leucas (beluga whale)
Lineage: Eukaryota; Metazoa; Chordata; Mammalia; Artiodactyla; Monodontidae
Description: lncRNA (ENSDLEG00000006123.1)
Source: RNAcentral